GUCAGCCUGUGGCUGACCGGGGAGGCGGCCUGGCUGGGGGCCGGGCGCGGCGGGUUCGCGCUGCCGCAGGCGAGCCCC
Molecule: transfer RNA, 78 nt
Filed under: Nocardioides sp. T2.26MG-1
Lineage: Bacteria; Bacillati; Actinomycetota; Actinomycetes; Propionibacteriales; Nocardioidaceae
Description: tRNA-Pro(ggg)
Source: RNAcentral